RNAcentral lists this ribosomal RNA (165 nucleotides) under Cornukaempferia aurantiflora. Its description in RNAcentral is "5.8S ribosomal RNA". It matches the Rfam family "5.8S ribosomal RNA". Rfam says of the family: 5.8S ribosomal RNA (5.8S rRNA) is a component of the large subunit of the eukaryotic ribosome. It is transcribed by RNA polymerase I as part of the 45S precursor that also contains 18S and 28S rRNA. Functionally, it is thought that 5.8S rRNA may be involved in ribosome translocation. Lineage: Eukaryota; Viridiplantae; Streptophyta; Magnoliopsida; Zingiberales; Zingiberaceae. The record is from RNAcentral.
CAAAACGACUCUCGGCAAUGGAUAUCUCGGCUCUUGCAUCGAUGAAGAACGUAGUGAAAUGCGAUACUUGGUGUGAAUUGCAGAAUCUCGUGAACCAUUGAGUCUUUGAACGCAAGUUGUGCCCGAGGCCUUGUGGCCGAGGGCACGCCUGCUUGGGGGUCAUGG